AUGGCCCAUGUUUUGGCUAGUGGUAUGGUGACAUUUGGCCAGGUGGCAUGUUGUUUGAUGUUAUCUUUUUUUUAAUGUUUGUUUAUUUUUGAGAGAGAGUGAGCUCGCUUGUGAGAGUGGUGGAGGGACAAAGAGAAAGCGGGAGAGAGAGAAUCCCAAUCUGUGCUUUGUCAGCACAGAGACUGAUGUUGGGCUCAAACUCACAAACUGUGAGAUCAUGACCUGAGCUGAAAUCAAGAAUCUGAUGCUUAACCAACUGAGCCACCCAGGUGCCCCAAGGGAAGAGUUUUAGAGUGUCAUUGUUGAUCUCUUCUCUUUGGGUCUUGUGUGGUAUAUGGUGAAGUUUCCCCUGGUGUUCUUUUCUCUAUUUGAGAUACUUAAGUAGGAGAGGCAGAAAAAUCAUUAAAUUUCACAGGUAUACAAAAUUUCCUCAGUGGAUUUUGUAAAACCAAUUAUUAGGAGAUAAAAUGUGCUCUGCUGUAUCACUCACAAACUGUAUCACAUUUGUCUCUGAGUACAAAGCACAUUUGCAUAUCCUUAUCUGUAUGUACACUUAGGGAAAGAGUUCAGGAGUUAUGAGUCACAUUUCUCCUUAGACCACAUUUUUUUUUAAAGGGGGUACUGAAGUUAAGCCUGCUUGGACAAAACUGUUAGAACCAAAGGAGGUGGUCAUGGCUAAGUUGGCAUGACUAGUAUACAGUAGAAGUGUUAUUUUCAUCAGGACACUUAGGGGCAGUUGCCCCUCUAACCACAAAAGCACAAGGCAAGCCAGGAUAUAUUACUCUUGUAUUCUUACUGGAUGCCAAGGCAAACUCUUCCACACUUUAGUUUUUUUAUCCAUUAAUUGGGAACACUUUUACUUGCCAUUCAUUCUAAAAUGUGGGUGAAAUAAAUAUAUAAUAGGACCUAUAGAUUGUAAGAGAAGGUACUUCUUAAAUGAUAGAUAUGAAGUAAAUGAAAUUGGUCAAAUAAGAGAGACCUGGUGAAAUCUCUAUUAUUGCCUUACCAUUAAAAGUCUUAAAAGCAUCUUUGUAUCUUAGAUUUGAGUUUCACAUUGUGAGUGUUGUAAUAGAAUAUCUUCUCUAUCGUGGUAAUAUUAUCCAUUGUCCCUGUGGAAGCUCAGAUUCCUUGUCAGAAAGAGAAUGACUUUCACAAGUCCGCUUUACAAGUAUUGAUUUACAGAUCUUUUGGGCACAUUAGUGGUUAUGUGAUUUCUUUUUAAACUAGUUUUCCAAUUUCUUAGCUGAGCCAAUAAGCUGUUACUGGGAGUGUUUGCCUCAGUGUGCAUGAGGGAGGUGCAAGUAAGAAUAUGGGCUGUAUCUUUUCACUGCUUCAACCUAGGAGGCUUGUCUUGUUUUGGCCUGGACUUGAAGGUUCAGUGGGUCCUCUGAAAUUUGGAGUUGGCUUCGCUUGCAUCUGUGGUGUCACAUGCUGCGGGUACUUUAGACAUCUAGAGUAGCUGUGGGAAUGCUCACAAGAGCUGGUCUUUUUCCAUUAUGGAUUCGGAGUGGUAUUAGGGCUCUUGAGAAAAGAGAGUUUGAAGUUGGUCUUAGAAUGUCUUUCAGAAGCCCCUUGGGCUGGAUUGAGUGAGGUGGUUUGUUUCUAGAUUGGCAAGCACCGAUAGAAUCCUCCAUUCCCUAGGCCUUCCCUAGGCCUAGUUGGAAGAACAACCAGCAUAGCUUCUGGGGGUUUUAGGGAAUGUUUAUGCCUAGGCACCAACUCUAUAGAGUAUUUUCCUUUUCCUGCCAUUCAUAGGGCAGUUGUCUGGUUAGAAAGCCUGCUGGACCUGUACUCCCUUUUUCCUUUUUACAAACCAGAGAAUAGCUGUAGUCACAGCUCAGGUUGCCGCUUAGGCUGACCUAAACCUGGCCUCUACCUUGGGUAGAGAAGUAGAGUAGAAGAGCAGUAGAGAAGGCCAGUAAAUGACGAUAAAUGGUUUCUUAGCUUGUGUAUCUUCUAGAAAACAGUUUGUGAAAGCAUUCCAUUUGAUAUCCAAUUACAUCUUAACAUCAUAAGCUGUUUUCUCUUUAAAGCUGUGCUGUUCAGUAACCACUAGUUGAAUGUGGCUAUUUAAGUUAAAAUUGAAUAAAAUUUUAAAUUCCCUUUCUUAGUUUUAUUAGCCACAUUUCUUGUCACACUAGUCACGUGAUUAGCGGCUUUCGUAUUAGACAAGGCAGAUAUAGAACAUUUUCAGCACCAUAGAAAGUUCUAUUAGCUAACACUAAAAUUUUUUUAAUUUUUUUAAUGUUUUUAUUUAUUUUUGAAGGAGAGAGAGACAGAGCAUGAGCAGGAGAGGAGCAGAGAGAGAGGGACACACAGAAUUUGAAGCAGGCUCCAGUCUCUAAGCUGUCAGCACAGAGCCCAGUGUGGGGCUCAAACUCACAAACUGUGAGAUCAUGACCUGAGCCGAAGUCAGACGCUUAACCGACGGAGCCACCCAGGUGCCCCAGCUAACACUAUUUUAAAGAGAAAAUUGCCUGUGAUAUUUCUAGUAUUAAUAUCUGUGUGGUUUCUCCUUAUUCAUUUAAUUAAACUGAAUUCUUUUGUCCUCUACCAAAUUAUUUUAAUAUGCCCCUUUUCUUCACUAUUUCAAGGGCCUGUUAGUUUUCUUCUGUUAGUUGUUCUCCUUUAAAGAUUUUUACCUUUUAAUCUGCUCACUUCUUCCUGUAGGGAAUUGCUUCCUGAUGCCUUCCUGCCGUUUGUUUCCCACAAUUUUAGGUCUUAGUCAAUACCUAUUGAGAAAACUAACUGGAGACAUUAAUUUUACAGACUUCGUUAUUAUUUUUUUAAUUUUAAUUUUUAAAAAAAUAUUUAUUUAUUUUGAGAGAGGGAGAGAGAAUGAGUGCAUGCAUGGGGGAGGGGGAGAGAGAGAAUCCCAAGUGGGCCCUGUGCUUUUUCCCAUGAACUGUGAGAUCAUGAGCUGAGCCAAAAUCAAGAGUCAGAUGUUUAACUGACUGAGCCACCCAGGUGCCCCUGGAGUCAUUAACUCUAAAAUGACUUUAGAUGAUUGGAUUAUGUAUGAUAAUAAUUUUUGGCCUUAUUUUUUUUGUGUGAUUUCUAAACUUUAUGUAAUAAACGUGUUACAGAAAAGACCAGUGAAUAUUGUUUUAAAAAAUAUAUAUUUAAAAAUACAUAUCAACUCUACUCAAUUGUAUACCUUAAAGGAGUGAACCUUACAAAUUUUGUAUUGUAAUAAAGCUGUAAAAAAAGAACAGCUUUGUUUUUGAAUGGAUGAAGACAUGGGGGACUAAAGUUUUGCUCUACCCAUUACCUUUCUUGGUUCUAGAGUUGCGUAUUUCUUUUUACUGGUAGCAAAUGUGGUGAAUGGGGAAUGUUCUAGACACUCAUGGUGAGUGGAUGAUGAAGCAUAGCUGACAAAGUAGUAUUGAAAAUGACACAUUUAUUUAUUUGUUUAAAAAAAAUUUUUUUUAAUGUUUUAUUUAUUUUUGAGACAGAGAGAGACAGAACAUGAACAGGGGAGGGGCACAGAGAGAGGGAGACACAGAAUCUGAAGCAGGCUCCAGGCUCUGAGCUGUCAGCACAGAGCCCGACGCGGGGCUCGAACUCACAAACUGUGUGAUCACGACCUGAGCUGAAGUCGGACACUUAACUGACUGAGCCACCCAAGCGCCCCAAUUUAUUUAUUUGUUAAAUAUUUAUGUAGAUCCUUUUAGAUAGUAAAGUGUUUUAAGAUAUACUCAAGGUGAGAAUCUCUGAGUUUAGGUGCAGCUUCACACAUUUUCUGGUCCUGAAUACUGUUUUUCCCUUUUUCUUUUUCGGAGCAAUGGUCCAGAUAAACCCACUCUUCAUUCACCCUUUCAGCCCUCGUAGUGCUUCUAAGUUCUGUGAACAUGACACUAGGUAAUAUCCAUAGAAUGUUUUGGCCAAAAAAUUUUUAGAACUGUGAUGUGGAUCUUAGUAGUUACACUGUAAAUUGCCUUGUAUGUAUUUUUUAGUGGCCUGAUACAGAUAAAGGUAGAUACGAAGGGAGUGAUGUUUUCAAACUUGAUUCCUACCAGAGGAAUACCUGUUCCUCUUUUUGUGGACUAACUCUUCCAAAUGACAGCUUGCCUCUCAAAACCUUACUGUGAGCAAGAUUUCCCCCAGGUCACAUUGUGGGUAUAAUUAGCUUAUGACUUGUCCCUGAGGAAAUUUAGACUGCUUAUUGUGCUUAGACAUAAAAAGGUGUUUUUUCUUUACAGUUGUUCUUCAAAAUAUUUUGUGUGUGUCUUGAGUUUCCUUUCGUUCCUCCUUUCAUAGGUGAGAUAGAGAUUCUUUGUUGCAGUUUCUUUCUUUCUUUCUUUCUUUCUUUCUUUCUUUCUUUCUUUCACUACAGCAAACACAAAAGGCUUAGGACAUCAGUUGUCCUUUACUUCUUCUCUCCUCACUGACCUUUUCCUGUCUCCUGUUUAAAAACAACAAAUGGCUUCAAGGUUUACAGAGCUGCUUUAUUCUUCCGUUUCUUUGUAUUACCAUACCUGUCAAACCACACUGCACUCUGCUGUUUGUAAUUCCACCCAUCUUUUGCCACUUUAGUUUCCUCCAGAAUGCAACCACUAGUAGUAGUUCAGGGUGAUGUUUCAAAGGAAAAUCAGCGUAUGCCACUCCCUUCUUCAUAAUCUUCCCAGUUCAUUCAUUUAGCAAAUGCUUAUAGACUAGCUGGUGUGUGUCACAAACAGAAUCCUUGAUUUCAUAAAGUAUACAUUCUAGUGGGUGAAGAUUAGUGACACUAUCAAAUAACUGUUCAUCAUACUUAGAGUAAAACCCCUUUUCAUGCCUUAGGAAAGACUUUAGGAUGUGACCUCUUCCUGUGUCUUUGACCUUCUCUUCUGUCAUUCUCCACCAUGCUCACUUGGCUCUGGGGAAGCUGGGCCUUAGACAAGGUCAUCUCCGCCUUUGGGCUUUUGCACUUAUACCUGGGAUGCCUUGUCCCACAUCAUCAAAUGGCUGGCUCCUGGGUAUCAUUCAGAUCUCAGUUAACCCACCACCUUGGAAAGCUCUCAUAACCUGCCUAGUCAUUCUGGGAGUUUAUAAAUCUUCACAACUCGUUACUAUCAUCUGAAAUAAUCUUGUUCAUUUAUUAGUUACUUUAUAGGUGCUCAAUAAGUACAUUUGUCACAUAAACAGUACCUUUUUAUUUAUAAUGUUUAUUGAAUGAAAAUCUGUUAUACACAGUUCUUUCAUUCAGCAAAUACUUAGUAUUUCUAUGUGCCAAGCACUGCUAUAGGUGCUGAGGAAGGAGUAGCAAACAAGUUGACAAAAUUAACUCUCUCCUAGAGUAUACAUUGUGGUGGAGGGAGAAAGAUAAUAAACCAAUAUAUUUAUAAUAAAUAGGUAAUGAGUGAGUACCACGAUGAAAAAUAAAGCAUAGUGAGGGAAUUGAGAAUGUUGGCAGAAGGGCACUUUUGGAUAGGGCGGUCAGAGAAGGCCUCUGGGGAAGCCAUGUUUUAGCUGAUGCCUGAAUGAAAUAAACCUAACUAAUUGAGCAUUUACUGCGUGUCACAAUAACCAUCAGAGGCAGGUACUGAGAUCCCUUUCCCAGAAAGGAAAAUCAAGGCCCAGUGAGGUGAAGGCAUUUUGUAAGGCUACACAGUUUAGAGGUAGGUGGAGCUGGGAUUUGUCUCAUGAUUUAUGAUUAUCUGACACCAGAACGAUUUCUCUGUUUAAACUUGGUGUUCCCCGAGCCCUGGCUGGUUCUCAUAGUUGACAAAUAAUAUUUAAUGUUUAUAUUUUGUCAUAUUAGAAUUACAGAAUGCUGCUCUAUUACCAAAUCAUAGAUAGUAAGAAAUUUAAUACCACAAUGGCUAUAAGUGCCAGUUCUGGAGCCAGUUAGCCAGGAUUUUGAUCCCGAUUCUAUCCUUUACCAUUUAUUGAUUUGGGCAAAUUAUUUAACCUCUCUAAUGCUUUAAUUUUCUCAUUUGCAAAAUAGGCCUAAUGUCCCUACCCCUCAUUAAUUAUGAGAAUUAAAUGAUAUUAAUACAAGUAAAUGCUUACGUAGCACAUAGAAAACACUUAAAAAUAAUAGCUGUUACUACUAUUACUAUUGCUAUCUUUAUUGCCAGUCCAACUUCUCUGGUCUCUCCCCAGUACCCCUCCAAAGUCUGCUUUCUUUCUGCAGUCAGGGCAACUUUGUUGAUAUUACGAUUUCCUCAGUGGGACUAUCAUAAGGUGUUGGAUUCACUUUAGACACAGAUCCUGCCAAACCCCAAGCUUAAUAGUCUAGAAAGUCAAAACAAAAUAUUUUGGUUCUCUGAAGCAGUGGCUGGAUCAGGAUCCUGUUUCUACAUCCUGCCAGCUUAUAUGAACGGAAGAGAUGGUGCAGGCCCCGCCUGCAAACCACAACUUUGUUUUGAGCCAAUUUGACUUGACAGCUUCCCUAUUCUACCUGCUGACUUCUUUAGCUCUGGUUUGGCAGCCAGAAGAGCAACUAAACCGGUUUACAGCUAGUCAUUUAUUACCAAUAAAAGCUAAGUGACUCCUAAGAAAAUGAGGAUUUAAAUGGGGUUGAUAUUUUUUCUCUUGUCUCUUUAAGCUUUCUUUUUUAUGUCUCAAACUAUAGAAAAAUUCUAUUCUACUCUUACAGGAGAAACCUGAUAAUACAUUUAAGGCCUGUCAUGAAACAUUUGGAUUUGUGUGUGUGUGUGUGUGUGUGUGUGUGUGUGUGUGUAUGUUAAUUCUCUCCUUUAAUAAGUACCAAGACUCUACUGUCUCAUUUUAGUUGGAAAUCUACAAAUAUAUUAACAUGUUUCUGUUCUUUCUUAAGAGUAUGUAAAACACAGAUUAACUUCUUUUCAAAUGUGGAUCAUCAUGAUGAAUGAGAUCCUCAUGGUUAACAACAGGGCUUGAGCUGAAGAGUGUAGACUGGUAUGUGUUGCAUAUUUUUAAACUAAUGUGUUUGCUUUUUUAGUUUUGUUUUUGUUUUAUUUCCCCCAUUGCUUCAAUAUGCCUUCUUUCUGCUUUACUGCUUUGAUUAGACCAUGGGCUAAAAACCAGACAAUCAAAUAUGUUAGGAGUGAAUGGCUCUGUAUUAUGAAGGCUAAGAGGAAUGGACAGUAUCAUUUGAAUACGGGAGAUUCACAGCCGGAGUGUUUUAGGGCUAGAAAGAAACAUUUUACCUACUUCUUCGUCUGGGUUGUACUCCAAGGAUGGGGUCGCUGGUGAGUUAGGGUAGAGGGUUAAUCUUCUAAAGUCUUAAGGAGUCAAAAACCCUUUUGAAGAUGCAGUUCGAGAUACAAGUCAAAUUUUGCGUUUGGUUGGAGAAUUAUGAAUUGGUAAGUAAAGCCCUAUAUCUAUUGCUUGGUUAAAUUUGUUUUGAUUACAUCUAGGCAAGUCACUUUUUUUCUCGUUUUUUAAAAGUGAAUACACCUUUUUUUUUUCUUUUUUUUUUUUUUGCCUUGCUGAUUUGUUAUGAAGAGAAACGAAAUGUUUGUAAAAUGUUUGAGCAUUUAUAUUCAUAGAAAUCAUACCAUCUUUGGGUAAUGUCAGUGAAACUAUGAAUUUGAUGAUAUAAUAUUUGUUGACCUGUGAUAGACUGUGAUAGAUACAUUAGUCAUCUUUUACAUUGUCUUCACAAGUAGGUUUUUUAAUUUUUUUAUUUUUUUUAUUUUUAUUAAAAAAAAUUUUUUUUUUUAACAUUUAUUUAUUUGAGAGACAGAGCAUGAACGGAGGGGGGGGUGCGGUCAGAGAGAGAGGGAGACACAGAAUCUGAAACAGGCUCCAGGCUCUGAGAUGUCAGCACUGAGCCCGACGUGGGGCUCAAACUCACCGACCGCGAGAUCAUGACCUGAGCCGAAGUCGGACGCUUAACCGACUGAGCCACCCAGGCACCCCUACAAGUAGGUUUUUUUAAAGUGUGUUUAUUUAUUUAUUUAAUUAGUUAUUGAGAGAGAGAGAGAGAGAGAGAGAGAGAAGGCCCCCGUGCUGUCAGCACAGCCUGACACAGGGCUUGAACUCCUGAACCAUGAAAUCAUGACCUAAGCUGAAGUCAAGAGUUGGAUGCUUAACUGAGUGAGCCACCCAGAUGCCCCACAAGUAGGUUUUUGUUUGUUUGUUUUGUUUUAUUGUUUAAUAAAAUUGUCUCCUCAAAACUUAAGUAUGUGGAAAGUAGUCUACAGAAUUUGUCGUCUCUGCCAUACACCAUUUUUGCUGUGGAUGAAAAUGAAUAAGCAACUCUGGAAACCAAGGUCCUUUGGGAACAUAAAAACUCUUGUAGCUAUUAAUGGAUUUAAUUGUAUUUCCUCUCUGUCACCAAAAUGUGCAAUAAAUUGUUUAUGCCCUUGUCUUUAAUGGGGAGAAGUGUUCAUUAACUGUAUGUAAUUAUCAUUAUCGCUUUGUUUUUAUUACUUGUAGAUAAUCCCCUUUAUCUUUCCUUUAAAAAAACUUAUAAAAAAAGGAUAGCUAUAAUACUAUUAAAUAUUACCCAUUAAUCUUUUUGGUGAGCUUUUUCUCUCCAUGGAGAAAAAGGAAAUUAUCAUUUCAUUGUGGGGGUGAAUUUGGGCUUGAAAUGGGACAUGAUCUCCUAAACUAAGAUUUGUCAUAAAAUUCGUUUGGCAUGCUUUGGACUUAGGCCAAGUGAUAUGUUUACUUAAGUUCAGCAAGGGCCUCGUUCUCAGGCAGCCUCACUGAUGAAUGAAUGCAUGUCUCAGUUGGUGAGGCUUCAUCUUAUUUGAGUCCAUUUAAGAUAACAUUUUUAGAAAAAUGUUUGGAAUGAUGGCUCUCUUUGGGUUUUGUUUUGUUUUGCUUUGCUUUGUUUUAUUUGAUGCUCAUUCAGGUAUUUCCUCCUAUUCUUAUCACUGUAGGAAAGUUAGCAAAUUGCUAUAAUCUGUUUAAAACCAUAUGCCAAAAAUGUUUUGACUUUAGAAUUUGGUUUCUUAUUUGGCUUUACUUCAUCAUGUGGAUUUGGAUAAGUCUCUUUAACUCUUCCUCUGCCUAAUAGUCAUUUAGUCAGCAAAUAACUGUCGAGUAUACAUCAUAUGCUGGUCACUAUUUCAGACACUGAGGAGAGAACAGUUAAUAAAAGAGACACAAUCUCAGCUCUUGUGGGGUUUACCUUCUAGGUGGGCAACAGACCAUAAGCAGAUGAAUGAGCAAAUGAUAGGGUAUGUCUGGUGGGGAAAAGUAAGGUAGGAAAGGGGGUUAAAUGGGGCAGAGAGAGAGUUAGUUUUAAAUAAGGUGUUCUAAAAGAUCUCAGAGAGGGGGAACAGUCCUUGUGGAGCACACAUUUAAGCAAGCCAGUAGAGGGGACAGCAAGAACUGGUAGGUUCCAGAAACAUCCAAGAGGCCAGUGCACUUGAGCCAAAUGAAAGAGGAGUGAGUAAGCAAAGGGGACCCAGAUCUUAUAGACCAUUGUAAGACUUAGCUUUGACUUUGAGUGAGAUGGGAAGCCAUUAGAGGUUUUGAGCCACAGAAGAGGCAUGAUGAUGACUUUCAUAUUAAAAUACCCACUGACCACUGUGUAUAGAAUAGCCUAUAAAGAAGGGUAGGGUGAAAGCAGGGAGUCUAGGUAGAGGUGUUGUGAUGAUGUCGUGGGAGCUAAUAUUGGCUUGGAACAGGUUGGUAGAGGUGGAGGAAAAGAGAAUUCAUCAGAUUCUAGGUAUAUUUUCAAGCCUAAAGGAUUUGCUUAUGGGUUGGAUUUGGGGUAUGAUGGAGCAAAAGGAUUCAAAGAUGACUUGAACAUUUCAUUAACUUCCUUGUGUUGGUUUUCUGAUUUUUAUAAAAAAAUUUACUAUUAUUGUCACCACUUUAUCUUGCUUAAGUGACAUUAUAUAAGAAUGAGAUCUGUAUAACUGAACUCGUCAAGGUUCUUGAGGGAGUUUGUUUCUCCUUUUUUAAAAAUUAUUUUUUUAAUGUUUUAUUUAUUCUUGAGAGAGAGAGAGAGAGACAGAGCAUGAGUGAGGGAGGGACAGGGAGAGAGCAGGACACAGAAUCCGAAGCAGGCUCCAGUCUCUGAGCUAUCAGCAGAGCCCAGUGCGGGGCUCAAACCCACAAGCGGUGAGAUCAUGACCUGAGACAAAGUCGGACGCUCAACCGGCCGAGUCACCCAGGCGCCCCUGUUUCUACUUUUGCCAUCUGCAAUUAAUUGGAAAUAAAUUCCCUUGGGAAUUUACUGGGUGAUGGAAUAAUCGAUAGACUGGCAACUGAUUGUGUUAAUAAGUUAGAUUAAUUUCUUUUAGUGCUUAGGCCAUGAUGAAGCUAUGAUGGAGCAGCUGAGUGUCAACAUCCCUGAUUUUUCUGCUGUCAUGCUUGCUUGGUGUGGUAUCUCCUCUGUGAUCCUUAUUUAUUUGAUGGGUUUUAAUGAGGGAGAUCUGUUGCAGAAGCUAUUGAUACCUAUAGCACAUGUUCUUUGUCACUAACCCAGUGAAGCUGAAAAGUCAAAAAUAUGUUUUUGGUUUUUGGUUUUUGGUUUUUUUAAUGAGUAAUGCUCAACAGCAGACAGCCUGUCUGUGCUUCCUGGGAGCUGCUCUGUAAGGAGGAAUCCUGCUGCAGAAUGAUCUAAUUUGUAUAAUCUUGAAGGUGGAGCUAUUUUUAAAAGAGAACAGGAAAAUAAUGGAGUCCUUUGCUUGUGAAUGCCAAACUGGAUCUUACUGAUUUAAAAGGAAAGAAGCUUAGUUAGAUCUUGUAGUUUGAACUCUUAUUUCCCUUUUAUUCUGUUUACCAUGUCUAGAUCAAAUUUAUGAUAGAUAUAUUUAGGUAACUGCUUUUGGAGUGGCACCUGGGCACCCCCUUUUUUUUUUUUUUUUUGACAUUUUAGGUAAGUAUAUUACUUAACUUGUGAUUUGGAUAAUGUGAGUCAUGUACAAGAGCAGAUACUAAA
Panthera uncia (snow leopard) is the source of this 10813-nucleotide long non-coding RNA. RefSeq lists it as uncharacterized. The transcript is spliced from 2 exons. Lineage: Eukaryota; Metazoa; Chordata; Mammalia; Carnivora; Felidae. The record is from RefSeq and is a predicted model, not a curated record.